Molecule: ribosomal RNA, 1007 nt
Filed under: Paraburkholderia sediminicola
Lineage: Bacteria; Pseudomonadati; Pseudomonadota; Betaproteobacteria; Burkholderiales; Burkholderiaceae
Description: bacterial SSU rRNA
Rfam family: Bacterial small subunit ribosomal RNA
Source: RNAcentral
AGUCGAACGGCAGCACGGGGGCAACCCUGGUGGCGAGUGGCGAACGGGUGAGUAAUACAUCGGAACGUGUCCUGUAGUGGGGGAUAGCCCGGCGAAAGCCGGAUUAAUACCGCAUACGCUCUACGGAGGAAAGGGGGGGAUCUUAGGACCUCUCGCUACAGGGGCGGCCGAUGGCAGAUUAGCUAGUUGGUGGGGUAAAGGCCUACCAAGGCGACGAUCUGUAGCUGGUCUGAGAGGACGACCAGCCACACUGGGACUGAGACACGGCCCAGACUCCUACGGGAGGCAGCAGUGGGGAAUUUUGGACAAUGGGCGCAAGCCUGAUCCAGCAAUGCCGCGUGUGUGAAGAAGGCCUUCGGGUUGUAAAGCACUUUUGUCCGGAAAGAAAACCUCCGCCCUAAUAUGGUGGGGGGAUGACGGUACCGGAAGAAUAAGCACCGGCUAACUACGUGCCAGCAGCCGCGGUAAUACGUAGGGUGCAAGCGUUAAUCGGAAUUACUGGGCGUAAAGCGUGCGCAGGCGGUCCGCUAAGACAGAUGUGAAAUCCCCGGGCUUAACCUGGGAACUGCAUUUGUGACUGGCGGGCUAGAGUAUGGCAGAGGGGGGUAGAAUUCCACGUGUAGCAGUGAAAUGCGUAGAGAUGUGGAGGAAUACCGAUGGCGAAGGCAGCCCCCUGGGCCAAUACUGACGCUCAUGCACGAAAGCGUGGGGAGCAAACAGGAUUAGAUACCCUGGUAGUCCACGCCCUAAACGAUGUCAACUAGUUGUCGGGUCUUCAUUGACUUGGUAACGUAGCUAACGCGUGAAGUUGACCGCCUGGGGAGUACGGUCGCAAGAUUAAAACUCAAAGGAAUUGACGGGGACCCGCACAAGCGGUGGAUGAUGUGGAUUAAUUCGAUGCAACGCGAAAAACCUUACCUACCCUUGACAUGUAUGGAAUCCUGCCGAGAGGUGGGAGUGCCCGAAAGGGAGCCAUAACACAGGUGCUGCAUGGCUGUCGUCAGCUC